RNAcentral lists this unclassified non-coding RNA (541 nucleotides) under Aspergillus sp. 8 JS-2017. RNAcentral describes it as "sequence contains ITS1, 5.8S rRNA gene and ITS2". The stretch from base 151 to 304 matches the Rfam family "5.8S ribosomal RNA". RNAcentral also lists the same sequence under 1 other name. Lineage: Eukaryota; Fungi; Ascomycota; Eurotiomycetes; Eurotiales; Aspergillaceae. The record is from RNAcentral.
GACUAUUGUACCUUGUUGCUUCGGCGGGCCCGCCAGCGUUGCUGGCCGCCGGGGGGCGACUCGCCCCCGGGCCCGUGCCCGCCGGAGACCCCAACAUGAACCCUGUUCUGAAAGCUUGCAGUCUGAGUGUGAUUCUUUGCAAUCAGUUAAAACUUUCAACAAUGGAUCUCUUGGUUCCGGCAUCGAUGAAGAACGCAGCGAAAUGCGAUAACUAAUGUGAAUUGCAGAAUUCAGUGAAUCAUCGAGUCUUUGAACGCACAUUGCGCCCCCUGGUAUUCCGGGGGGCAUGCCUGUCCGAGCGUCAUUGCUGCCCUCAAGCCCGGCUUGUGUGUUGGGCCCUCGUCCCCCGGCUCCCGGGGGACGGGCCCGAAAGGCAGCGGCGGCACCGCGUCCGGUCCUCGAGCGUAUGGGGCUUCGUCUUCCGCUCCGUAGGCCCGGCCGGCGCCCGCCGACGCAUUUUUUUGCAACUUGUUUUUUUCCAGGUUGACCUCGGAUCAGGUAGGGAUACCCGCUGAACUUAAGCAUAUCAAUAAGCGGAGGA